This 1457-nucleotide long non-coding RNA is filed under the name Nicotiana tabacum (common tobacco). RNAcentral's name for it is "long non-coding RNA (NTAB_LNC005043)". The record is from RNAcentral. Lineage: Eukaryota; Viridiplantae; Streptophyta; Magnoliopsida; Solanales; Solanaceae.
CUAAGUAGAAAGCAAAGAAGUGAGAAUAAUAGAAAGCAAAGAAGCAAAGAAGUGAGAUAAAUAGUGAGUGACAGUAAUAUUGUAGUGAGAUAUUUUAAAUAAAGAGUGUUAUUUCUUUCAAAAUUGUAGUAAUGUCUUGACACUACUAAGUUGUAAUAUUGCUGCGCUCGGGUAUUGUAUUUACCCCGUUAAAAGAGUGGGUGUCAUUGUUACUCUCUUGUGUUAUUAUUAUUUUUCGUGGAUAUUAUUUCUGGGCGGAAUUAUUAUUUUUCCCCAACAUACUUGACGCAAAUUCUUGAAGAAUAACAAUAUAUAGCACGUACAAAAUAACAGCAUUCGCACGUUUGAUAUUCAAGCACUUAUCACAUUCUUUACUAUUUAGUUUUCAUAUUUAGGUGCAGACAUCAACAUGUCAGGCUUUUCCUUUUGCAUCACAUAGUCACAAGCCAUGAAUGAAGAAUCGUUCGUUAAUACCAGCUUUGCAAUAUUUCCUGAUCUCACUGACAUCUCACAAAAUGUAUGGGUCCUUGUAUCCUUGACAACACGUAUUUUUUAUGCAGUAUGUAAAAUAAACACCAAGUAGUUCUCGAUAUAUACAUUUUGUGAGAUGUCACUGAAAUCUUUGGUAUUAAGAAACAAUUCCUUCAUUCAUGGUCUUUGGCCAAGUGAAGCAAAAGGUAGAGAAUGCGGUAACUUAUCAGUCUAGUAAAGCCUUUAAUUAGGCCCUAAAUUUUGAGGUCCCAAAACUUUUUAAUAAUAUAUUUUAUCAUUUUCUCUCUUAGAUAAUAAUGAAGUCCAUAGAUUAAAAAGAAACAAUGUGGAAUCUUUACCAAAAGAGAAAGAUUGUCUUCUUUUUAAUAGUAUAAUAUUUUAAAGUUUUAAAUUAAAUUAUUCAAAUCUCUAUAUUAGUAAACAAAAUUUUUUACAAUGAUAUCCAAGGUAAUAUAUUGCAAAUAUAUGGCUAAUUUCUAAUUAACAUGAAUUAACCUUUACUACUAUAAUAAUAAUAAUAAUAAUAUUUCAACUGUGAAACUGGGCAACUCUGUAAAGCAUAACAAAUUAAAGUAUUUAUAAGAUUUUGGAAGUUUAUAUAAUGCACGCUAGCUCGUCCUAAUUUCAAGCACUUACCACAUUCUCUAUUUUCUGAUCUUCGAGAUUAGGUGAGAGACAUGGACAUGUCAAGCUUCUUGCUCUUGCAUCACUUGGCCAAAGACCAUGGAUGAACAACUGUUCCGGAAUACCAGAUUUGCAAGGAGUUUUCCCUGAUUGUAAUUGCAUGUCAUAGAAUGUUGGGGUCAAUGCAAUACGUAUUCCAUAAAAUGGUAACUUGCUUGACACCUAGUUCUUGGUUUAUAGCCGUUAAAAUCAAUAUAAUUAGUAGCAAAUAGCUCUCCAUAAUAACUUGUUAGCAAUACUAUUAAUGUACUCAAAGUAAUAAUGCAAGGAUGGCAUUAUAU